GACGAACGCUGGCGGCGUGCCUAAUACAUGCAAGUAGGACGCAGUUGCGAACGGGUGAGUCACGCGUAGGUAACUGCCUAUUAGAAGGGGAUAACUAUUGUAAACGAUAGCUAAUACCGCAUACUAGUAGAUGAACCUGCGUUGUAUUAGCUAGUAGGUAGGGGAAUGGCCUACCUAAGAGACGAUACCUAGCCGACCGUAGAGGGGUAUAGGCCAAACGUGGGAUGAUACAAGGCCCAGACUCCUACGAGAGGCAGCAGUAGGGAAUCAGUGGCAAUGGGGGGAAACAUGACCGAGCAACGCCGAGUGAGUGAAGAAGGUUUUCGGAUCGUAAAGCUCUGUUGGUAAGGAAGCGGUACUUAACCAGAAAGGGACGGCUAACUACGUGCCAGCAGCCGCGGUAAUAC
RNAcentral lists this ribosomal RNA (407 nucleotides) under uncultured bacterium. Its description in RNAcentral is "partial 16S ribosomal RNA". It matches the Rfam family "Bacterial small subunit ribosomal RNA", at positions 28 to 526 of the family's 1533-position model. The record is from RNAcentral.